Schistosoma mansoni is the source of this 46-nucleotide non-coding RNA. The record is from Rfam. Lineage: Eukaryota; Metazoa; Platyhelminthes; Trematoda; Strigeidida; Schistosomatidae.
GUACUGAUGAGGAGUCUCAUAAUAGGACGAAACGGCCGUUUAGUGC